GACGAACGCUGGCGGCGUGCUUAACACAUGCAAGUCGAACGGAAAGGCCCUGCUUUUGUGGGGUGCUCGAGUGGCGAACGGGUGAGUAACACGUGAGUAACCUGCCCUUGACUUUGGGAUAACUUCAGGAAACUGGGGCUAAUCCCGGAUAGGAGCUCCUGCUGCAUUGUGGGGGUUGGAAAGUUUCGGCGGUUGGGGAUGGACUCGCGGCUUAUCAGCUUGUUGGUGGGGUAGUGGCUUACCAAGGCUUUGACGGGUAGCCGGCCUGAGAGGGUGACCGGCCACAUUGGGACUGAGAUACGGCCCAGACUCCUACGGGAGGCAGCAGUGGGGAAUAGUGCACAAUGGGCGGAAGCCUGAUGCAGCAACGCCGCGUGCGGGAUGACGGCCUUCGGGUUGUAAACAGCUUUCGCCUGUGACGAAGCGUGAGUGACGGUAAUGGGUAAAGAAGCACCGGCUAACUACGUG
This 468-nucleotide ribosomal RNA is filed under the name uncultured bacterium. RNAcentral's name for it is "partial 16S ribosomal RNA". It matches the Rfam family "Bacterial small subunit ribosomal RNA", at positions 28 to 507 of the family's 1533-position model. The record is from RNAcentral.